RNAcentral lists this ribosomal RNA (480 nucleotides) under Trigonopterus scabripes. RNAcentral's name for it is "partial 16S ribosomal RNA". Lineage: Eukaryota; Metazoa; Arthropoda; Insecta; Coleoptera; Curculionidae. The record is from RNAcentral.
CUAAAUUAUUAGCCUCUACACCAAUAAAUUAUUUUAAUCCAACAUCGAGGUCGCAACCCUUCUUUCCGAUAAGAACUCUGAAAAAGAUUACGCUGUUAUCCCUAAGGUAAUUUAAUCUUUUAAUCUAAACUAUUUUAGGAUCAUCUAUUUACAAAUAAAUAUUUCAAAAAUAAAAAAAGUUAAACUAAUUUUUAAAUCACCCCAAUAAAAUAAAUAAACAGAAACUUUUUAUUCACACUCCUUAAACUAAAAUUUUCUGUUUAUUUAUAAAACUCUACAGGGUCUUCUCGUCUUCAAUACCAAUUUGAGCUUUUUUACUCAAAAAUAAAAUUUUAACAAAUUUAAAUAGAGACAGCUAUUUUUUCAUCAAACCUUUCAUACAAGCUUACAAUUAAAAAACUAGUGAUUAUGCUACCUUUGCACGGUCAUAAUACCGCGGCCAUUCAAAUACUCAGUGGGCAGGUUAGACUUGAAAUCAAC